CCCAUUAGUUUUAUCGAAACGUCUGCAUAUUUGUAGCGUAAAAAAUCGAUAAUUGGUAAUCGCCCCAUCAAUGAAAAAAAUUGACAGCUGGGAAUUUGCUAUUUGUUUUGUUUUGGUUUGGUUUUCUUUCUGCAGCUAAAAGCUUUAUUAAAGCACUGCUGCGGAAACAUUUGAAGGAUGAGUUUCUAAAUUUCUUAAAGGUACGGGUGACCUGAAUGGACGGCUUUGUUUUUAUAACAUUACAUAUUUGUUAUUGAGCUGCAAUAGUUGCAACAGGGCACGUUGUGUUCUAAAAACAUCCUUUUGAAAUACCCCACACCCCAGUGUUAUACAGCGUGUGAAUCAUCUGGAAUUGAGAAAACGUCGGGACAGCUCAGCUCGGAAAUUUGCAAGAAGUAACCUAAUUCAAACCCAAAUUAUUAAUAAGUUGGUGCACAGGAAUAGUAUUUUUUUUCUUUUAAAUACAUCGUAGACUCUUGUCUACAAGUGUAUGUAAAAGUUUUUGAUUCGGGUCACGCGUUUGGGCACAGCGAUCCAAAAUCGUUCUACAAAUAAUUUACCGUACCCAAAUCAUUUGCAAAAUACUAUCAAGCAACAGGAACAACAAACAGGAUCACUGCAUAAGCUCUUAGCAACAACACCAAGUGAAGCUCGUCGACUUACAUAACAGAAUAAAAAUGCAAGAUUCCAGUAUAAGUUCAGCGCUUGCAAAAUACCGAUUUCCUGUUUCCUGGAUAAAGAAUUGUACGUGAAGAAUGGUCAGUUAGUCGGCACAGUACAACAAGCAGUAUUAAGAUCGGCUCAAUGUCUUACAUAAAUAACUACAGGGCUAAUUUCAUGUUCCCCAAAGAUUCGAGAUUACUUAUUUGCAUUGCAUGUACAAAAACAUUUACGUCUACAAGAAGAUAUGAAAAUUGCUUUACACGGUAUGUAUUUGCAAGUUCUUUGAAAACGAAAUAAACCUAACACAAAAGAAUCUAUCUCUAUGGCAGAUGGAAAUUAAAUUUCACGUUUCUAGUUCGUCUGUACGUGCAUCUGCUUUGUGCAUGUAUGCCUUUCCAUAUGUAAAAAGUAGCAUUUACAGAUGCAAACGCAUGUCGUGUAAAAUCACUUUAACAAACA
Molecule: long non-coding RNA, 1122 nt
Filed under: Rhagoletis pomonella (apple maggot)
Lineage: Eukaryota; Metazoa; Arthropoda; Insecta; Diptera; Tephritidae
Description: uncharacterized LOC118748455
Source: RNAcentral